UUUUUAUAUAACGAGUAAUAGAUGGCAAGCAAGUUCACAAAAAUAAUAUAAAAUGAACAUUUACUUGCAGGGUUGUCCUUGUGCCGUUAGUGGCAGCGAGAAUCGUGGAUUACUCAACAGCUCUAUUUAUUCCGAUACCAUCAGGCGAAACCGCAAUUUUAUCAGAAUUUCAUUUAUUUGAAACACACUAUAAACUUUACAGUCAUAGAAGAAGGAUUUGUGGACAACAUAAAUAU
This is a long non-coding RNA of Rhagoletis zephyria (snowberry fruit fly), 236 nucleotides long. RefSeq lists it as uncharacterized. The record is from RefSeq and is a predicted model, not a curated record. NCBI's taxonomy places the organism in Eukaryota, Metazoa, Arthropoda, Insecta, Diptera, Tephritidae.